This 415-nucleotide transfer-messenger RNA is filed under the name Anaerolineae. RNAcentral's name for it is "JAADDB01 sp013154135 Standard tmRNA". It matches the Rfam family "transfer-messenger RNA". Rfam says of the family: Bacterial tmRNA, also known as 10Sa RNA or SsrA, is named for its dual tRNA and mRNA-like properties. Its role is to liberate the mRNA from a stalled ribosome. To accomplish this part of the tmRNA is used as a reading frame that ends in a translation stop signal. Lineage: Bacteria; Bacillati; Chloroflexota. RNAcentral also lists the same sequence under 1 other name. The record is from RNAcentral.
GGGGAUGACUGGAUUCGACGGGGGAGGCUGUCGUAGAGCUGCAGGCCGGGGAGCCUGUACCCCGUGACCAACAGGCACCAACAAAAAGUGCCAAGGCAAAUGCUGCCUUCGCUUUUGCUCGCCCCGCGGCUCAACCCGUCGCGGUUGCCGCGUAAGGCGGGCAAAGGCACCUGGUCCCUAGAGUAGGGACCACGGCCCCCUGGGGGUUCCCCCAUGGCCUCCAGGGUGUGCCGACAGAGACAUGGGGUGCCGUCGGACCGAUGCCGCUAGGUCCGGCGAAAGACACUCAGCGGCUUUGCCCGGUUGGACCCUGCCGCUGGGGCGCCGCCGGGCGAGAUCCAAAACAGCGGCUAAGCCUGUAGAUGCUCUGCGGCGAAUCCCCCGGACCCGGGUUCGACUCCCGGCAUCUCCACCU